This 217-nucleotide unclassified non-coding RNA is filed under the name plant metagenome. Its description in RNAcentral is "partial contains small subunit ribosomal RNA, internal transcribed spacer 1, and 5.8S ribosomal RNA". The record is from RNAcentral.
UCUCCGUAGGUGAACCUGCGGAGGGAUCAUUACAAGUGACCCCGGUCUUACCACCGGGAUGUUCAUAACCCUUUGUUGUCCGACUCUGUUGCCUCCGGGGCGACCCUGCCUUCGGGCGGGGGCUCCGGGUGGACACUUCAAACUCAUGCGUAACUUUGCAGUCUGAGUAAACUUAAUUAAUAAAUUAAAACUUUUAACAACGGAUCUCUUGGUUCUG